RNAcentral lists this ribosomal RNA (510 nucleotides) under uncultured bacterium. RNAcentral describes it as "bacterial SSU rRNA". It matches the Rfam family "Bacterial small subunit ribosomal RNA", at positions 501 to 1012 of the family's 1533-position model. The record is from RNAcentral.
CUACGUGCCAGCAGCCGCGGUAACACGUAAGGUGCGAGCGUUGUUCGGAAUUAUUGGGCGUAAAGGGCAUGCAGGCGGUCGUGCAAGCCCGGCGUGAAAGGCGGGGGCUCAACUCCCGAACUGCGCUGGGAACUGUAAGGCUUGAGUUUCUGAAGGGUAGUCGGAAUUCCACGUGUAGGGGUGAAAUCUGUAGAUAUGUGGAAGAACACCAAUGGCGAAGGCAGGCUACCGGCAGAAGACUGACGCUGAGGUGCGAAGGUGCGGGGAGCAAACAGGAUUAGAUACCCUGGUAGUCCGCACAGUCAACGAUGUGCACUAGAUGUCUGUCCAUGAGGAUGGGUGUCAAAGCAAACGCGAUAAGUGCACCGCCUGGGGAGUAUGCCCGCAAGGGUGAAACUCAAAGGAAUUGACGGGGGCCCGCACAAGCGGUGGAGCAUGUGGUUUAAUUCGAUGGUACGCGAGGAACCUUACCUGGGUUUGACAUACACAGGGAUUAUGUAGAGAUAUGUA